Molecule: ribosomal RNA, 662 nt
Filed under: uncultured bacterium
Lineage: Bacteria
Description: bacterial SSU rRNA
Rfam family: Bacterial small subunit ribosomal RNA
Source: RNAcentral
UGGCGGCAGGCUUACACAUGCAAGUCGAACGGUAACAUAAAGAAGCUUGCUUCUUUGAUGACGAGUGGCGGACGGGUGAGUAAUGCUUGGGAAUCUAGCUUAUGGAGGGGGAUAACUACGGGAAACUGUAGCUAAUACCGCGUAGAAUCGGGAGAUGAAAGUGUGGGACCUUCGGGCCACAUGCCAUAGGAUGAGCCCAAGUGGGAUUAGGUAGUUGGUGAGGUAAAGGCUCACCAAGCCGACGAUCUCUAGCUGGUCUGAGAGGAUGACCAGCCACACUGGGACUGAGACACGGCCCAGACUCCUACGGGAGGCAGCAGUGGGGAAUAUUGCGCAAUGGGGGCAACCCUGACGCAGCCAUGCCGCGUGAAUGAAGAAGGCCUUCGGGUUGUAAAGUUCUUUCGGUAGCGAGGAAGGCAUUUAGUUUAAUAAACUGGAUGAUUGACGUUAACUACAGAAGAAGCACCGGCUAACUCCGUGCCAGCAGCCGCGGUAAUACGGAGGGUGCGAGCGUUAAUCGGAAUAACUGGGCGUAAAGGGCACGCAGGCGGUGACUUAAGUGAGGUGUGAAAGCCCCGGGCUUAACCUGGGAAUUGCAUUUCAUACUGGGUCGCUAGAGUACUUUAGGGAGGGGUAGAAUUCCACGUGUAGCNGUGAAAUGC